RNAcentral lists this ribosomal RNA (922 nucleotides) under Ectopseudomonas composti. RNAcentral describes it as "bacterial SSU rRNA". It matches the Rfam family "Bacterial small subunit ribosomal RNA", at positions 68 to 977 of the family's 1533-position model. Lineage: Bacteria; Pseudomonadati; Pseudomonadota; Gammaproteobacteria; Pseudomonadales; Pseudomonadaceae. The record is from RNAcentral.
GGGUUGGGAGACUGGCUUCUCUUGAGAGCGGCGGACGGGUGAGUAAUGCCUAGGAAUCUGCCUAGUGGUGGGGGAUAACGUCCGGAAACGGACGCGUAAUACCGCGUACGUCCUACGGGAGAAAGCGGGGGAUCUUCGGACCUCGCGCCAUUAGAUGAGCCUAGGUCGGAUUAGCUAGUUGGUGAGGUAAUGGCUCACCAAGGCGACGAUCCGUAACUGGUCUGAGAGGAUGAUCAGUCACACUGGAACUGAGACACGGUCCAGACUCCUACGGGAGGCAGCAGUGGGGAAUAUUGGACAAUGGGCGAAAGCCUGAUCCAGCCAUGCCGCGUGUGUGAAGAAGGUCUUCGGAUUGUAAAGCACUUUAAGUUGGGAGGAAGGGCAGUAAGUUAAUACCUUGCUGUUUUGACGUUACCGACAGAAUAAGCACCGGCUAACUUCGUGCCAGCAGCCGCGGUAAUACGAAGGGUGCAAGCGUUAAUCGGAAUUACUGGGCGUAAAGCGCGCGUAGGUGGUUCGUUAAGUUGGAUGUGAAAGCCCCGGGCUCAACCUGGGAACUGCAUCCAAAACUGGCGAGCUAGAGUACGGUAGAGGGUAGUGGAAUUUCCUGUGUAGCGGUGAAAUGCGUAGAUAUAGGAAGGAACACCAGUGGCGAAGGCGACUACCUGGACUGAUACUGACACUGAGGUGCGAAAGCGUGGGGAGCAAACAGGAUUAGAUACCCUGGUAGUCCACGCCGUACACGAUGUCAACUAGCCGUUGGAAUCCUUGAGAUUUUAGUGGCGCAGCUAACGCAUUAAGUUUGACCGCCCUGGGGGAGUACGGCCGCAAAGGUUAAAACUCAAUGAAAUUGACAGGGGACCCGCACAGGCCGUUGGGAGCAUGCUGUGAAUUUCGUAAGUCAAUCGUUGCUCGUACACCG